UCGAACCAAACCGCCACGGCAGUUCCAUGCACACUCCCACCACAGACUCAAUCAGAUCUCUGCCCUCCAGCUGCUGCUUUUAACUAAGAAAAGGAAAAAAAGUUAUGAUUACAAAUCCCACCAAAUUUUGUUUAGCUUGGUGCUGAGUUUUUAAAAAAAACAGUCCAUGGGGACGUUGCUAAGCACACCCUCCACUUCUUCUGAUCCUCUGGUCUAAUUUGUAGCUUCCCAAGGCGAUUCUUCAUUGAAAAACAAUUAGGAGACUGCUACCUAUUUAGUUUGGCCCUGAGGCAGGAAUCUUUCCCACCCCUGCUGAUUGAGGCCCUAUUAAGGAGGAACUUCUGCAAGCAAAGCACUUGUCUCCCUCUCUCUCUGAGAGAUAACACUCCAUCUCAACACUAAACAAAGUUGCUGAUCUCUUGAUGGUAAUUGAGAUGUACAUCAAGACUCAGCCUCAAAUUGGGUGCAGUGAAGAGAUAUUACGUCACAGCAGGAAUUCCUUCCUGGCCCUGUACUUGACUACAGACUGAAUCUUAGUUAUGCAACAGUGUACCAACCAAGAGUUAACUUUAAAGAGAUAGGGAAGCAGCAUCAGUAGUGGCAAUUAAUCGACAUCAGGCCUGGGACAAUCUCUUUGCCAGGACACAUGACUGUAUUAUUAUCUUCUCAGCAAAAGCAGUUCUUCAGAUAAUAUACGGGGACCUGCUGAAGGCACACAAAGUAGGAGAGUAAAGAAAUGCUGAUGUCAGAGCCAUCCACCAAUGCACAAUGUCUAUAACCCAUGGAAACAAACAAACUGAAAAUCUUCAAUAUGUGUAAGAAUAAGGAGGUGAAGAACAGGGAGGGCAUAAUUCUGAAAAAGGACAGGCCCGGGGCCCUUUGGUCAUAUCAUUAGGAUUGCACUGGAUUGGAACUAGAUGGCAAAUGGAUUCUGCAAUCCUCUGGGGGAGACUUGCUUGCAGAACAAUGCCUUUCUUGAACACUCUGCCAAAGUUAAGUGGUCCUCUGUUUCUACCUUUGUGCUGAAACUUUGUGAAUUAGACACCAGUUGGGAGGACAACUAUGAAAUGCAGUUUCUUCAGAUUUCUUCAAUGCAACUAGAAGCUACUGGUUGUUGAGUCCUAGUGUCUGCUCAGUCCAAGAGUGCCUCUGAGAGCAACACCUGGCAGGCUCCAGCCAAAGACACCAGAAGUCUAGAUCCACAAAGGAUGCAAUUGGAUGUACAUAAUGAAGUAAGGACAACUGUAGAUAAGGAUUCCAUGCAAAGAAAAGGAUGGAAUCCUAUUUGCUGAGCAUGGAGCUGGAAAAUAUUUUGCUGGAGGACAAGACCUGAAGCAGCUGGAGAACAAGCAGCAUAGGAUGCCAAAAAUAGAAAAGUCUACAGACUUAUCCGCUUGCAUACCGUGUAACAUGAAACUCAGAGGACAGAAUUUAACUGAGCAUGUUAAUAAAAUCCUAGACAAUGCAAGGAGAGGCGCACAAGAAAAUGUAAGAUUCCCAAAUGAAGCAAUUGUUGGAUUUAUAUGUUUUGUUUUGGAAUGAAAAAAGGAGAUUUUAUUUGGAUUUUGGAAUUUCUAGUCUUCAAGUUUUUAAUAUGAGUUCAGAGGCUGCCUCUAGUGAAGUCUCUGACCAAAAAAGUCAGUUUAAAGUGUUUCAAACCAAACAAACCAGCAAGGUCUAUAGGCCACAGCAGAGUUGCUCAAAGAAAUUCCAAGAAGGAUGACUCAUCACCCAGAAUCUCUUCAAACCAGAAACAUUUGGAUCCAUUCAAUGGGGACACUAGCCCCUGGAGGCUUCAGCCUUGAGGACAACACAUGACAUGUCUGCAACAGCCAAUCCUAGACUUCUGAACACUCCAUCACAGACAUUUUGUUAACUGUUACUGCAGCUAACGUACUUUGCCUAUAACAUCAGAGCAAGUGAAAAAGGAGGGAGUCAAAACAUUUUGCACACUAUAUCUCUGCUUGUUAAAUCAACAAUAAAUUACACACACACACACACACACACCAGGGGUGUUGCUAUAACUGAGUGAAGGGGUUCAAAGAACCCGGGACACCCCAGGUGAUUUGUACCAAUA
Hemicordylus capensis (graceful crag lizard) is the source of this 2077-nucleotide long non-coding RNA. RefSeq lists it as uncharacterized. The transcript is spliced from 5 exons. The record is from RefSeq and is a predicted model, not a curated record. Lineage: Eukaryota; Metazoa; Chordata; Lepidosauria; Squamata; Cordylidae.